Long non-coding RNA from Helicoverpa zea (corn earworm), 669 nucleotides. RefSeq lists it as uncharacterized. The record is from RefSeq and is a predicted model, not a curated record. NCBI's taxonomy places the organism in Eukaryota, Metazoa, Arthropoda, Insecta, Lepidoptera, Noctuidae. The transcript has 2 exons.
GUCUGGGCUCGCGCAGGCUCCCAGGAGACCCAUUGACGCCAGUUUUUUGAUCUGGAAGAGAAGGAAACGUAUUCAGGUUCAAAAGGAAACAAGGCUUCGGUAUCAUGAUGAGCAGCAUUAGGCUUCAGGUGCUCAUCAGCGAAGUUCCUCGCCAUCUCCUGAAUAGUUCUCUGCUGUUCUGUCAACUGGGUUGUGAAGGUGCGGCAUUGUGAUAGUGACUUUAGGCAUUUUCGGGAGUAAACUGCAAAAAUAAAUAGUGACUUAAGUCAUUUGUGGGAGUAAACUGUAAUAAGGUCUUCUCAUUAAAGAAUUUUCUUCUCCAGUUUUUAUUGAGUUUUCAUAGUCUUGGUUUUAUUUGCAUGUAAUGGGGAAUUCUUUAUGUACAGGAAUAAAAAGUCUAUGGUCUUUGAUCAGGUUCAAGCUUCUUUGAUUAAUUUCUGUUAUAUUAGCAUAAUAAACAAAGAGACUCGGAGUUUCAGGAUGGCUAACUUACUGGAUUUUAAUAUUUUACAUGCAGAGAAUAUAAGAAUUAAAUUAUUUUAGCUGAGGUUUCAGCAGUGUAAUUUUGACAAGUAACUGUGAAUUGAAUUAUAGCAUCGAACUGUAACAUUAUUGUGAAUGCGAAGUACUUGCGCACGCGCAGCUGAAUAAAUUAAAGAAGCAACAUGA